RNAcentral lists this long non-coding RNA (1633 nucleotides) under Mytilus galloprovincialis (Mediterranean mussel). The record is from RNAcentral. Lineage: Eukaryota; Metazoa; Mollusca; Bivalvia; Mytilida; Mytilidae.
CAACAAAGGACAAAGUCGAAAGAGAAACUUCCCGUUUAUCACGUAUAUUUAUGGUAUGUAGAUGUUUGCAUGUGGCUAUCAAUGUUUGUGAUAUUUAUGAAUUGUGUUCAGAAACUCUGAAUUGGUAUCAUAUUGCACAAUUAGAGAAAAUUAGAACGUCGACAUUGUAUUCCAGAAAACAGAUCAGAACACAUGGAAGGACCAUCAUAUAUAAUUUCCUCCAAUUAUACUAUUUCUAAGAGCAUUUAAUGUGGAAAGCAUAUUUAGUUUCAUUUUAAAGUUUAGGUAAAGGUUGUUACAAUUAUUAUGCUUAAAGAUUCAUAUAAGAAAAAGGGGGGAUAAGCAAGUGUUUACAUUAUUUUGCUCAGGUAAAUUUCCCAACAUGUUUACUUUAUACUAUAUAUAUGCGAUUCUUUUAGUUUAACUCUAAGGCUUGGUAAACCACAUACUUUUUGACGAUCAUAUUAAACGAUGAAUUUCAACUGGACAACAAAGUAUUGAAUUUGAACAAUCAUGGAAAAUUGAUACUUUUAUUGUUUUAUUUUUACAAAAACAAGUCAGUCUGAGCCUUUACUGAUCUUCAGGUGAUCUCUAACUAUGUCCAUGUGUAAUAUGAGAAAUGCAUGUUUCAUUAAUGUGUACUUAACCUGGUUUUGAAAGUUAUAGCAGUCCAUUAUCUGAUAACAUGAACAUGUAUUAUUUAUUUUACAGAAUCUUUUCAAACAGAUCAAUGGCUAAAAUACAUCAAGUGGAGCAAAAUUAAAAUUCAGUUUGGGGAAUUCCAGUCUUUAAAAUCAUCAAAGGUAGGUUUUUUGUCUGUAUAGCUAUAUACCAUUUGUGUUCAAAGAUUAAUCUUUUGUUUAUUCUAAUUUUGUUUACCUUACAUAGUAAAUUUACCUUACAUACAAUAUUUAAUUAUGUUUGUCUUUAUAUCUUACCUAUUCUAGUAAAGCUCUUUAUUUUAUGUUAAUAGAAUUGUGCAGUCAUCAAUAAAAAAACGUCUUACUUAGGUAAAAUGUUUUCAUUGUUAUCAAUAACUCAGGUUGAAGCUUCUUCAUUAACAAAAAACUACUGAUAGUAAACAUUAAUGUAUAUAUUUUUAUUAAUGAUUAUCUUAUUACAAUAUGUGCUUCGUCAUUAUGGUUUUAUUUAUUUUCAAUGCUUCUAGAAAACAAAUUGAAAGUGGCCUCAAAUUUAAAAUAUCUUUUCAGGAAAUACAAUUUAUAUUUAUUAUAUAUAUAUAUAAUCUGAUUUUUUCCAGAGUUUAAAUAUACUGCAAGAGUAAAAAGAUGUCACUUGGAAAUACAUAUCUGAUAAAGACCUCUCCUGCUUAAAAUUUACCACUGAAAGAUCCCGAGGUGGUGGAAGAAUGAUGACAUGCAAUAAGGACAAAAAGAGACAAAUAUAUCAAAUGAAUUUAUAAAAUAAAUCUUGUAUCAAAAGAAAUAUCAUUGUAUUACUAUUUUUGAUAUUAUUGUUCCUGAGUAAAUAAGUAUUAAUGUAAUGGUUUAUGAGGUUUAUAUAACAUAUAUGUAUAUAUAAUCAAGGACCUUUGUUUUUGUGGAUAGUUGUCUGGUAAGCAGUCAUGCAGCAUCUUCUUAUUUUCGUAAAUAUUGCGAUCAUCCUGAAUACA